CAGUCCUGAUCGCAGUGAGCCUCGCACCCCGUGUCCUGUGCUUUGCAGGAGCGAACCGUUCCAUCUUCCAAGGCUAGCAGGUCAGCUGCCUUAUGAUCCGCAGUUGACAGAAGCAGAAACAGACACAGAGAGAGGCCAUAUGACCACCCCCGGUCCCUAAGGAAGGUGGCAGAGGGAGGAGUGGAACCCAGAAUCCACCCAAGAUAAGGCACAAGACCCCCGAGAAGAGCCACUGACUACAAGUGAGCAGAAACCCGGGCUUCUGGGUCCAGGUAGCAGAGGCAAAGCCAGAAGAAGACAAAUCAGGGACGACAUCGUCUCCAUGCCCCGUCUGCAGGGACUUUCUCCCUUGGACUGAAAUGGUGCCAAAAUGUAGCUGGACACUCCCUCUGAAGGACACCGAGGGCCACAGCUAGUGACGUGACUGCCACGGUUUUACAAGAGACCCGUCCGCCAAACCAGCUCUGCCCGGGCCCCUCGGGAGGCGGAGGCUGAGAAGGGUCCCCCUCUGCGCGCAGAAAGCAGCAGCCCACGGCAUUCAGAGGAGCGUUGCCACCAACGACCCCGCGCCUGAGCAGGACUGAGUGUGGCUCACACCACCUGCUCCCUGUCACGUCCCACCGGCCCCGUCCCGGGCUGCACCACGAACCACGAGCUGAGCAGCCUUGGCCAAGCGGCUGAUCCUCCCAGACCCAUGUUUCCGCAUCUACGAAGUGGAGGUAAUAACAGCUUCCACCUUACAGGGAGGCGUGCCCACUAAAUGCAGUAAUUCGUGUGAGGUUCCCAGGAGGCGCCCAGUAGGUGUCCGCUGAUAGAAUCGGGAUUUUUAUAAUUUCCGUGUCAUUCAUGUGUAUCUGUUUCCCCACCUGACUCAGAGCCCCUGGGGAAUGAGAAGCAGGUCUGGGUCACCGUUGUGUCCCCAGCACCCAGUGGAGGGCUUGGCAGGGAGGAGAAGCUCAGUGAUGUGGGGAGCACUGCUCGGCCAUUGGCACUCAGCCUGGACAGACGCUGUCCCACGCCCCCCCCCAAAGCCCUUCCUCAAACCGGCGUCCUCGAAGCUGGGCAGCCGCUGCUGGGCCCUUCCCUCAAGGCUUCGGUCCUCACCCUCGGGCGGCCAUCCACACUCGCCUGGGCCUGCUCCAGGGUCCUUUGCCUCUUAGGGGCCACAUGGGAGCCCACCGCGGUCCCCACCACCGGGAGCUGGGCUUUACAGACCCACAAGAGUCGGGAUUGCCAUGAGACCCCCUUCCUAGAGUCCUCAGGCUCAUCCUUGAAGGAGCCACACCAAAGCUGGGGGCAGUGAGGUGGGGGCUGCUUGAAACUCCAUUUGGCAGAUCUACACAUGAUAAAAUGGUGGAGACAGACAGACACACACACACACACACAGUACCAAUGUCAAUUUCCUGGUUUGGCUAUUGAAAGACACUUACACUAGUGUCACUUAUAUAAAUAUAAAUAUUAUAUAAAAAGGGGUGCCUGGGUGGCUCAGUGGGUUAAGCAUCCAACUCUUAAUUUUGGCUCAGGUCACAAUGUGACGGUCAUGGGAUCGAGUCCCCA
Long non-coding RNA from Lutra lutra (Eurasian river otter), 1557 nucleotides. RefSeq lists it as uncharacterized. The record is from RefSeq and is a predicted model, not a curated record. The transcript has 3 exons. Lineage: Eukaryota; Metazoa; Chordata; Mammalia; Carnivora; Mustelidae.